GCAGUAACACGUAGUCAACAUGCCCAGGGGACGUGGAUAACCUCGGGAAACUGAGGAUAAACCGCGAUAGGUCAUUAUUUCUGGAAUGAUUGAUGGCCCAAAUCUAUAUGGCCUCUGGAUUGGACUGCGGCCGAUCAGGCUGUUGGUGAGGUGGAUGGCCCACCAAACCUGUUACCGGUACGGGCUCUGAGAGGAGGAGCCCGGAGAUGGGCACUGAGACAAGGGCCCAGGCCCUAUGGGGCGCAGCAGGCGCGAAACCUCUGCAAUAGGCGAAAGCCUGACAGGGUUACUCUGAGUGGUUUCCGCUAAGGAAACCUUUUGGCAACCUCUACAAAUGGUGCAGAAUAAGGGGUGGGCAAGUCUGGUGCCAGC
RNAcentral lists this ribosomal RNA (372 nucleotides) under unidentified archaeon. Its description in RNAcentral is "bacterial SSU rRNA". It matches the Rfam family "Archaeal small subunit ribosomal RNA", at positions 90 to 462 of the family's 1478-position model. The record is from RNAcentral.